CCUACGGGGGGCAGCAGUGGGGAAUAUUGGGCAAUGGACGCAAGUCUGACCCAGCAACGCCGCGUGAAGGAAGAAGGCUUUCGGGUUGUAAACUUCUUUUAAGGGGGAAGAGCAGAAGACGGUACCCCUUGAAUAAGCCACGGCUAACUACGUGCCAGCAGCCGCGGUAAUACGUAGGUGGCAAGCGUUGUCCGGCUUUACUGGGUGUAAAGGGCGUGCAGCCGGAGAGACAAGUCAGAUGUGAAAUCCACGGGCUCAACCGCGGAACUGCAUUUGAAACUGUUUUUCUUGAGUACCGGAGAGGUCAUCGGAAUUCCUUGUGUAGCGGUGAAAUGCGUAGAUAUAAGGAAGAACACCAGUGGCGAAGGCGGAUGACUGGACGGCAACUGACGGUGAGGCGCGAAAGCGUGGGGAGCAAACAGGAUUAGAUACCCGUGUAGUC
This 442-nucleotide ribosomal RNA is filed under the name uncultured bacterium. RNAcentral describes it as "partial 16S ribosomal RNA". It matches the Rfam family "Bacterial small subunit ribosomal RNA", at positions 338 to 795 of the family's 1533-position model. The record is from RNAcentral.